This 406-nucleotide ribosomal RNA is filed under the name uncultured bacterium. RNAcentral's name for it is "partial 16S ribosomal RNA". It matches the Rfam family "Bacterial small subunit ribosomal RNA", at positions 29 to 526 of the family's 1533-position model. The record is from RNAcentral.
AUUGAACGCUGGCGGCAGGCCUAACACAUGCAAGUCGAGCGAGAGGCGGACGGGUGGGCAAUGUAUGGGGAUCUGCGCGCGAGAGGGGGAUAACUACUGGAAACGGUGGCUAAUACCGCAUACUAUAGGCUAGACCCAUAUGGGAUUAGCGAGUAGGUGGGGUAAAGGCUCACCAAGGCGACGAGCUCUAGCGGGUCUGAGAGGAGGAUCAGCCACACUGGGACUGAGACACGGUCCAGACUCCUACGGGAGGCAGCAGUGGGGAAUAUUGGACAAUGGGCGCAAGCCUGAUGCAGCCAUGCCGCGUGUAUGAAGAAGGUCUUCGGAUUGUAAAGUACUUUAAGCUGGGAGGCGUUACCAGCAGAAGAAGCACCGGCUAACUCCGUGCCAGCAGCCGCGGUAAUAC